This 294-nucleotide unclassified non-coding RNA is filed under the name Hevea brasiliensis (rubber tree). The record is from RNAcentral. Lineage: Eukaryota; Viridiplantae; Streptophyta; Magnoliopsida; Malpighiales; Euphorbiaceae.
UGCACGCCGAAGUCUAUCUUAUCUUAUGAGCGAAAUGCCACUGGAAGCUCUUAAUGAUGCACUGCAAGCCCAAGUAAUAUCCCCCAUUUGGCAUAUUGCAUCUUAUUUACAAGCAGCAGCUCUUUUUGCUUUGGGAAGGGAGAGCGAGGCACAAGCAGCUCUUAAAGAGGGCUCAAUGCAUGAAAAUAAAAAAACAACAAACUCUUGAUGAUAGAAAAUGAUGAAGCUCAAUAAAUCUUGAAUUGCUGUUCCUUGAGAUGACUACAAAGGGCAAACCCAAACUUAGUUUCCAGG